This 312-nucleotide long non-coding RNA is filed under the name Dermacentor andersoni. RNAcentral describes it as "uncharacterized LOC126534157". The record is from RNAcentral. Lineage: Eukaryota; Metazoa; Arthropoda; Arachnida; Ixodida; Ixodidae.
CUAAGCUCAGAAACAGUCGUUGGCUAGCUACGCUGAAAGAGAGCCAAGUAUACACAUCAGAAGGCACUGUGAAACAGAGGGCCACCCAACUGUGCCACGAUGGACGAACAGUCAUACCGUUACGUUGAAGGCCUAUGGAUGCACAAGCUAUUCAAGGAUGAAGCUAUCCUCUCCGCAAUGAACUACAAACCACGGAAAGGAGACGUACUUGUUGUCCUCUACGGCGACUACUUCAAUCAUCUUCUGCCAUGGUAUGAGCAUCGAGGAGCAGAAAAUAUUCUCUUCAUCACAUAUGAACAACUGAAGGCGGAC